This 814-nucleotide unclassified non-coding RNA is filed under the name Hevea brasiliensis (rubber tree). Lineage: Eukaryota; Viridiplantae; Streptophyta; Magnoliopsida; Malpighiales; Euphorbiaceae. The record is from RNAcentral.
UAUAUAUAUAUAUAUAUCAUGAAAUGGAAAGCAUGCGUAUCUUCAAGUAGCAAAACACAAGUCACAAGUAGCUUUUCAAAAUACAAAAAGUUCAGCGAUAUUUGGAAGUCCCAUGAUCUCAUUUCACAGACAAAGCACCAUUAAAGCAUUAAUGAGCUAGCAUUUCAACUAUAUAAGAGAAAUGAUUUUUUAAAUAAGCAUGAUCUAGUUUGCAAGGGAAACCACUGUACUUUUAUCUCAUCUAAUGAUAUGAUUUUGAAUUCGGAUUCCUUGUUACAGGAAAAUAUUAACAAUAAUAUCACAAUCAAUAAAGCAUUCACAAGAUUUUGCAAGGUGCAAAAAUUGACAAUGGACCCUUCAACCUUUGUUAGUAAAUUCCAAACAUUCUAUAUCUAAAUUAAACUCAUUGAAUAAUUUACUUCUCGAGAAUAUUGCCCACUUGCAGAAAGUUUCAAGCAAGAAGUGGUAUAUUCCUAAAUGUAAUUUAAGCAAUAUGUUGGAAAUAUUCAUCUAGCACAAAACCAACUUUAGUUUCUUCAUAAAAGAAGCUUGUUAUAUCUGCCAUCCGGGUGAUGAACAAUGAAAAAAGGAUUGUCUGUUCCAUGCCAAAAUUGGUGACUCAUACAGAAUAAGUCAUGAUGCAUCAAUACAUAAGAGGCAUUUUUCAGAACUUCAAUAAAAGCACUGCUUUAGAAAACAUUCAUACCACAUAUGCAAUAGAAACGAGGUCAUAUGAUUUGGAGGGCAGGCCUGUUUCCUCCCCAUUAGCAUGUAUCCAGUUAGUCGGAUUCUUUCUUGGGGCUCUCUUCUUUUC